CCGUCAUGCAUUACUGCGGAGGAUCAUUAACGAGUUCUUGACCGAGUUGUAGCUGGCCUCUCGAGGCAUGUGCACGCUCGGCUCAAUCCACUCUACACCUGUGCACUUUCUGUGGGUUUCGGAUUUGUCGAAGCGGGUAACGCCGCCGAGGUUGGUCUGGGCUCGCGUUUAUUACAAACACCGUAUAGUAUCAGAAUGUAAAUUGCGAUGUAACGCAUCUAUAUACAACUUUCAGCAACGGAUCUCUUGGCUCUCGCAUCGAUGAAGAACGCAGCGAAAUGCGAUAAGUAAUGUGAAUUGCAGAAUUCAGUGAAUCAUCGAAUCUUUGAACGCACCUUGCGCUCCUUGGUAUUCCGAGGAGCAUGCCUGUUUGAGUGUCAUGAAAUUCUCAACUUACAUGCCUUUGCGGGUGUUGUAGGCUUGGAUGUUGGAGGCUUGCCGGCAUUGUAAGUCGGCUCCUCUUAAACGCAUUAGCUCGAUUCCUUGCGGAUCGGCUCUCGGUGUGAUAAUUGUCUACGCCGCGACCGGGAAGCGUUAUGGCGGGCUUCUAAUCCGUCUCUUACGAGACAGCUAUAUGACCUCUGACCUCAAAUCAGGUAGGACUACCCGCUGAACUUAAGCAUAUCAAA
Molecule: ribosomal RNA, 629 nt
Filed under: Megasporia hexagonoides
Lineage: Eukaryota; Fungi; Basidiomycota; Agaricomycetes; Polyporales; Polyporaceae
Description: eukaryotic LSU rRNA
Rfam family: 5.8S ribosomal RNA (bases 227-380)
Source: RNAcentral